This 229-nucleotide ribosomal RNA is filed under the name uncultured bacterium. RNAcentral describes it as "partial 16S ribosomal RNA". It matches the Rfam family "Bacterial small subunit ribosomal RNA", at positions 568 to 796 of the family's 1533-position model. The record is from RNAcentral.
CGCGCAGGCGGUUAUACAAGCCUGGUGUGAAAGAUCGCAGCUCAACUGCGGGACCGCACUGGGAACUGUAUGACUGGAGUUCAAGAGGGGAAGCUGGAAUUCCUGGUGUAGGGGUGAAAUCUGUAGAUAUCAGGAAGAACAUCAGUGGCGAAGGCGAGCUUCUGGCUAUGAACUGACGCUGCGGCGCGAAAGCGUGGGGAGCAAACAGGAUUAGAUACCCUGGUAGUCC